AGAGCGAACGCUGGCGGCAGGCCUAACACAUGCAAGUCGAGCGCCCGUAGCAAUACGGGAGCGGCAGACGGGAUAGUAACACGUGGGAACGCGCCCUUCGGUUCGGAAUAACUCAGGGAAACUUGAGCUAAUACCGGAUACGCCCUUACGGGGAAAGAUUUAUUGCCGAAGGAACGGCCCGCGUCCGAUUAGCUAGUUGGUGAGGUAAUGGCUCACCAAGGCGACGAUCGGUAGCUGGUCUGAGAGGAUGACCAGCAUCACUGGGACUGAGACACGGCCCAGACUCCUACGGGAGGCAGCAAUGGGGAAUAUUGGACAAUGGGCGCAAGCCUGAUCCAGCCAUGCCGCGUGAGUGAUGAAGGCCUUCGGGUUGUAAAACUCUUUCGACGGGGACGAUAAUGACGGUACCCGUAGAAGAAGCUCCGGCUAACUUCGUGCCAGCAGCCGC
This 448-nucleotide ribosomal RNA is filed under the name uncultured bacterium. Its description in RNAcentral is "SSU rRNA". It matches the Rfam family "Bacterial small subunit ribosomal RNA", at positions 26 to 518 of the family's 1533-position model. The record is from RNAcentral.